This 660-nucleotide ribosomal RNA is filed under the name uncultured soil bacterium. RNAcentral describes it as "bacterial SSU rRNA". It matches the Rfam family "Bacterial small subunit ribosomal RNA", at positions 1 to 645 of the family's 1533-position model. The record is from RNAcentral.
UAGAGUUUGAUCCUGGCUCAGAACGAACGCUGGCGGCGUGGAUAAGACAUGCAAGUCGAACGGGAACUUUUUUGGUAGCAAUACCGAAAAAGUUCUAGUGGCGAACGGGUGCGUAACACGUGGGCAAUCUGCCUUAAAGUGGGGGAUAGCUCGGCGAAAGCCGAAUUAAUACCGCAUGUGAUCAGAGGGGACAUCCCUUCGAAAUCAAAGUCGGGGCAACCUGACGCUUUUUGAGGAGCCCGCGGCCUAUCAGCUAGUUGGUGAGGUAACGGCUCACCAAGGCUCUGACGGGUAGCUGGUCUGAGAGGACGACCAGUCACACUGGAACUGAGACACGGUCCAGACACCUACGGGUGGCAGCAGUCGAGAAUUUUUCUCAAUGGGGGAAACCCUGAAGGAGCGACGCCGCGUGGAGGAUGAAGGUCUUCGGGUUGUAAACUCCUGUCAUUUGGGAACAAGUUGGACGCCGUAACUGCGCGUCCAUUGAUAGUAACAGAAGAGGAAGGGACGGCUAACUCUGUGCCAGCAGCCGCGGUAAUACAGAGGUCUCAAGCGUUGUUCGGAUUCAUUGGGCGUAAAGGGUGUGUAGGUGGCGCGCUAAGUCGGGUGUGAAAUUUCGGAGCUUAACUCCGAAACUGCAUUCGAUACUGGCGUGCUUGA